This 476-nucleotide ribosomal RNA is filed under the name Reduviidae cf. Blapton sp. UCR ENT 00019763. RNAcentral's name for it is "partial 28S ribosomal RNA". It matches the Rfam family "Eukaryotic large subunit ribosomal RNA", at positions 716 to 1099 of the family's 3401-position model. The record is from RNAcentral. Lineage: Eukaryota; Metazoa; Arthropoda; Insecta; Hemiptera; Reduviidae.
AAAUGAAAGUAAAAAGUUGAGAUUAUGUUAAAAGAAAUUUUUUUUUUUUACAUUUCUCUCUUAAGGGAAGACGAGAAUUUAAUUAAUAAUAUAUUUAUAUAUUGUUAAUAAAAAUUUUUCGCACUCCCAGGGCGCUUGUUUCACGCUUUGCGUGUCAAUGCGCACCUAGAGCGUACACGCUGAUACCCGAAAGAUGGUGAACUAUGCCUGGCCAGGACGAAGCCAGGGGAAACCCUGGUGGAGGUCCGCAGCGAUUCUGACGUGCAAAUCGAUCGUCGGAGCUGGGUAUAGGGGCGAAAGACCAAUCGAACCAUCUAGUAGCUGGUUCCCUUUGAAGUUUCCCUCAGGAUAGCUUGCGCUCGGUUGAGAAGAGUCUCAUCCGGUAGAGCGAAUGAUUAGAGGCAUUGGGGUCGAAACGACCUCAACCUAUUCUCAAACUCCAAAUAGAUGAGACCCCCGGCUUUCUUAAAAUUGAA